This 318-nucleotide long non-coding RNA is filed under the name Lupinus angustifolius (narrow-leaved blue lupine). RNAcentral describes it as "long non-coding RNA (LANG_LNC003205)". Lineage: Eukaryota; Viridiplantae; Streptophyta; Magnoliopsida; Fabales; Fabaceae. The record is from RNAcentral.
CAAAAAAGGUUAACCAAUACCGAGCAGGCAUGUAGGAAGUUUGUGUGCAAAAACAAAUUCAGAGACAUGACUUUGACAUGUAAUUGAAGCUUCUCUACCAUGUAUUCUAAUGCAAUUAUAAUUUCUCCUAAGUUUCUUUGUGCUUUUUUCUCAUUUUUGUGUAUGAGAGAUCUUGGAUUAUUGUUUUUUUUGGUCGAAGAUGGUUGUGUUUUGAUGAUUGUGCGUGGAAGAUGAUGUUUAGGGAAGAAAAUGAUUGAUGAGUGUAUUUUUUAUUGAGAUAAUGGUUGAGGAUUACUGAGAAUAAAUGAUGGAUGAAAG